GAUGCAACGCGAAGAACCUUACCUACUCUUGACAUCCAGAGAACUUUCCAGAGAUGGAUUGGUGCCUUCGGGAACUCUGAGACAGGUGCUGCAUGGCUGUCGUCAGCUCGUGUUGUGAAAUGUUGGGUUAAGUCCCGCAACGAGCGCAACCCUUAUCCUUGUUUGCCAGCGAGUAAUGUCGGGAACUCCAGGGAGACUGCCGGUGAUAAACCGGAGGAAGGUGGGGACGACGUCAAGUCAUCAUGGCCCUUACGAGUAGGGCUACACACGUGCUACAAUGGCGCAUACAGAGGGCAGCAAGCUAGCGAUAGUGAGCGAAUCCCAAAAAGUGCGUCGUAGUCCGGAUUGGAGUCUGCAACUCGACUCCAUGAAGUCGGAAUCGCUAGUAAUCG
RNAcentral lists this ribosomal RNA (392 nucleotides) under Vibrio sp. RNAcentral describes it as "bacterial SSU rRNA". It matches the Rfam family "Bacterial small subunit ribosomal RNA", at positions 953 to 1344 of the family's 1533-position model. The record is from RNAcentral. Lineage: Bacteria; Pseudomonadati; Pseudomonadota; Gammaproteobacteria; Vibrionales; Vibrionaceae.